UGGAGGCUUACAUGGGAGAAACCUGGACUGAGGACGAUGUUGAACUACAGCAUUGUAUUGCAUUAGGAAACUACACAGAAGCCCCAUGCAAGUGGUGCCUAUUGUUUUCAUGAUCGGAGCCUUCUUUCU
Lagopus leucura (white-tailed ptarmigan) is the source of this 129-nucleotide long non-coding RNA. RefSeq lists it as uncharacterized. The record is from RefSeq and is a predicted model, not a curated record. The transcript has 3 exons. NCBI's taxonomy places the organism in Eukaryota, Metazoa, Chordata, Aves, Galliformes, Phasianidae.